Molecule: long non-coding RNA, 1939 nt
Filed under: Homo sapiens (human)
Lineage: Eukaryota; Metazoa; Chordata; Mammalia; Primates; Hominidae
Description: HSALNT0228594
Source: RNAcentral
CAAGAAUAGAGACUGCCCUAUUUAUCCCUGAGCUUCCAAAAUCUGGAACAAUAGCCACCAAAAAUAGCAAGGACCACAGCAGCUGCAAGGAGAUAAAUGAACCAUGUGGAUGCCCUCAAGAUGUGCAUGACCAUGGAAUGGGAGACUGGAGGGACACUUGGAUUAAAACCUUGGACCGGGUUCGCCCAGUAUGAGCCAUGAGCCAGCUGAACCUGAAUGCAAAGAAGGAAUGAAGACCGACUAGAGUCAUGCAUGCUUAAUGGACCAAUGCGUCCUGACUCAGCUCUUUUCUACCUGAAUACAAGAGACCCUAAUAGUUAGGCAGGAAUAUCAUCACCUCUAUUCAGCAUGAAGUUACAGAAGAUAGACCUUCAUCCUUCUGUAACCCCUAGGAUUAAGGGUCCUCUUGUAAAAGGGAAAGGGGAGAUAUGUGGGAAGCAUUCAAACCAGAGUGACUCCAGUUUGAAUAAGGGCUAAGAAAAAUGAAGCUGGAUGACCAACUGGCAAUUCAAGCCUUCACAGCCUGCAAUUGCCUUCUCAAUUAAAAGAGGCCAACUUUUAUGCUACUAAUUACGAUAUCUAGUAAUAAUGAUAGUAAUAAUGACAUUUCUCUUUUACAAAAAAGAGAAAGGGGGCAUGUUGGGAAAAAGCUGAAUAUUGGGAAGAAAACUGAGGCAGGGCUUGCAUGUCUGACAUAAUGUCCUCUGGAAUGUGUCUAGACUUUCUGGCUCCUUGCUUCUAGCCUUCCUAGUCUCCUAGAUCCAUUGUAUUCCCAUUAUCACAAGUAGCAGAACACGUUCCUUAUAAAUGCUAAACUAUCACAGCUGUUCAUCAUGCACCUGCCCUUUUGACCUCCUCAUUCUCACCACCUGUUCCUUUGUUGGAUUACCAAUAAAUAGCAUGGGCUCCCAGAGCUCAGGAACUUUGCAGCCUCCACAGUCGCGAUGGCCCCCUGCUCCCACUUUACUUCUCAAAUUGUCUUUUUCUCAAUCCUUUGACUCUGCCGGACUUCAUUACCCCCACCACCUGGUGUUGGGCCUGAUAACCCCAACAUUUCUAUGCCUUUCUCAUAUCCAGGAGAGACUGAGAAUCUGACAACUUUAAAAGUCUGAAAAGAAACAUUUACCAUCUAUUCUCUCUGAAGGAGUCUUCAUGUACCUAACAAGGCCAGCUUUGCUAGCUAAUAUUCUUCUUUUCUCUCUCUCUUAACCUUUCUUGCCACUCAACCUGAUUUACCAACAUAACCUGUUUCUGGCCAUGCUCUCAGUCUGCAUUCUUUACUGUAGCCUCAGGAUGGUAAUGUAAACCAAAAAUGAAAUUUUAAGCAGCCCCAGCCAACAGAAUGGACCCCUCCUCUCAGUCAAUUGCAUUCCAAAGUUAUCCUAAGACAAGAGGUCAGGCCAUGAUGGAAAUGGGUGGUUGGAUGUACCUCAUUAUACCCUCCUUCCUUUGGAAUUCAGGCAAAACUAACCAGCAUUAACAUUAAAACAGAGACCUUAAGAUAAUUUAUUAUCUCUGAAGCCUGCACCUGGAAGCUUCAUCUGCAUAAUAAAAACUUUUAUUUCUACAAUCCUUUAUCCUAACCCUCUCUUUUAUUGAUUCCAGGUCUUUAGAUAAACUCAACCAACUGCCAAUCAGAAAAUCCUUCUAUGACCUGGAAGCCUCUGCUUUGAGUUGUUCCACCUUUCUGGACCAAACCAAUAUACACCUUACGUGUAUUAAUUGAUGUCUUAUGUUUCCCUAAAAAUAUAAAACCAAGCUGUAGACCAAUCACCUUGGGCACAUGUUCUCAAGAUCUGCUGAGGCUGUGUCACAGGCAUGUCUUUAACCUUGGCAAAAUAACCUCUAAAUUGAUUGAGACUUAUCUCAGUAUUGGUUUGUAGUAUGAAAAUUUCUGUAAAUCCUCGAGAAGUUGGGGUUUCAUUCUGAAGGCUCCCAU